GAUGAACGCUGGCUACAGGCUUAACACAUGCAAGUCGAGGGGAAACGACGGGGAAGCUUGCUUCCCCGGGCGUCGACCGGCGCACGGGUGAGUAACGCGUAUCCAACCUGCCUCUGACUGAGGGAUAACCCGUCGAAAGUCGGCCUAAUACCUCAUGGCAUCGUCUGCGGGCAUCCAACGACGAUUAAAGAUUUCAUCGGUCAGGGAUGGGGAUGCGUCUGAUUAGCUUGUUGGCGGGGUAACGGCCCACCAAGGCUACGAUCAGUAGGGGUUCUGAGAGGAAGGUCCCCCACAUUGGAACUGAGACACGGUCCAAACUCCUACGGGAGGCAGCAGUGAGGAAUAUUGGUCAAUGGGCGGGAGCCUAAACCAGCCAAGUAGCGUGCAGGAUGACGGCCCUAUGGGUUGUAAACUGCUUUUAUGCGGGGAUAAAGUGAGGGACGUGUCCUUCAUUGCAGGUACCGCAUGAAUAAGGACCGGCUAAUUCCGUG
RNAcentral lists this ribosomal RNA (491 nucleotides) under uncultured bacterium. RNAcentral describes it as "partial 16S ribosomal RNA". It matches the Rfam family "Bacterial small subunit ribosomal RNA", at positions 28 to 507 of the family's 1533-position model. The record is from RNAcentral.